Molecule: long non-coding RNA, 1022 nt
Organism: Zophobas morio
Lineage: Eukaryota; Metazoa; Arthropoda; Insecta; Coleoptera; Tenebrionidae
Exons: 2
Source: RefSeq, a predicted model, not a curated record
GAGCUUACGGAACGACAUAAAGAGGUCACUGGCGUCACUAAAGGUGCUCCGACCUUGAAGAACAUAGUUUCUUUUUCAUUUUAAGGUUUUCGGUGAACGUUUUGUCUGGUUUUGUCAACAAGAAAUGUCAUAUUAUUUACGGAAUCAUACGGGAUGUUGGGUUAUGGGGUUAAAAACAAACGUAAAAUUUAUUUUAACAAAGUAAUAGAUACUUACGACACAGUCUUACGAUACAUGUAAAAAAUACUAGAAAAUUCCAGGCUAAAGAGGUCAACAAACUGCAGGUUAAACGAAAUAGUUUAAUUUUCGCUGUGUGCGUGUUUGAGCGGUCCAAGAUUUAUUUUUAAAUUUUAGUGUGUAAAAAAUUCUAACUCUAAUAAAAACUGAGACGAGGUAAUCAAGAGGAAAGUCUUUGCAGGGGUGGUGGAAUGGUAUUUUUGUAUGGUUCGUUUUUUAGCCGCAAACCAGUUAACGAAUACAGUGCAUAAAUUGGGAAAAACUCACAAAAUAUAUUACCCACUACCGGAGUAUAAACUGCAAAAUGUUCAGGUGGCAUCAUUAAAUCGCCAAAAAUCACAUCUUCAUUGAAAACUUUAAAAUGUCACACAAUUAAAACAGGAUGUACCACUUCGUAAGAAUGUGCAAGGUUCACACAAACUUCGCAGAAGUGGUGGUGUGAGUUUCCGGUAACUCACAUCACUUGAUGAUUGUUGAAGAGGCCGGAAUACAGGGAAGAUGUGUUGUGGAAGUUUGUUUAAAAGAACACCUUAGCAAAUUUUCCAUUUCAAAUAGAAUAGUGUUUCACAGUUGGUUCUUGCACUUGUAUCGAAAUAAUCUGUAGUAAAUAGUUUCCGAAACGUUCUUUGGAAUUCUAUUGGUGUGGGAUUUAUACAAUUCCCAAAUUGACGCCUCACAGAGCCAAACAAAUAUGUCAAACAAUACUGAUUUAGUUGCAGCAACCUUUUAGUGAAAAUUGUAAACAAAUUGUAUUCUGUGAAAACUAUUAAAAAUAAUAAGCAAAA